RNAcentral lists this long non-coding RNA (895 nucleotides) under Olea europaea subsp. europaea. The record is from RNAcentral. Lineage: Eukaryota; Viridiplantae; Streptophyta; Magnoliopsida; Lamiales; Oleaceae.
UUUCCAUCUUCAAUUACAGGUGAUUGCAGUCGGGCCUGGCCCCCUUGAUGAGGAAGGUAACAGGAAGCCAUUGUCAGUUAUCCCCGGGAACACAGUUUUGUACUCCAAAUAUGCAGGAAACGAUUUCAAGGGCAGUGACGGUUCUAACUACAUAGCACUAAGGGCUUCAGAGGUCAUGGCUGUCCUUUCUUAGUUGGUUCAGCAAAAGCGAAACUUGAGAAAUUUGUUGUAAUCCGGAUCAAUAUGACGACUUUUUGCAGCGUAAUGAAAGAAAUCAAAGUGUAAUGAUUUUUCAGUUCGAGAACCAUUUGUUGUUCUUUGUAGUCGUUUAAAGAGCUGCUUGUCUGUGUCCUUAUUUUCCAGUUUCUGAUAUCUCACAAAAGAAUUCCAGUCCUAAAUGAAUAUUUUCUUGAACUGUCAGUUUAGCGUAAUUUAGUGCAAAGAAUAUGGAGUUGCAUCCAUUUAGGAAUGAAAAUGAUGGCACUGGACUGAAUUUUCCCUUUUUUAAAGUUGAAUAAAAAAUUGUUUGUUUCGUCAAGUAUAUAUAGUUUUCUUGAUUCUUCUACAAGAAUGCACAAGCACUUCAAAAAAUUUCAGACAAGCUUUUUAACAUUCGAUGGUACAAGAAAUUUACAUCUACCUUCUAACAUUUCCUGCUGAUAAAAGUUAAUCUCUGCAAUGCUUUCACCGAUUAAAAGAGUUGGCAGAAUUAUCAUCAUACUGUCCUCUCCAAGCAUUACCACUGUCUGUUCCACUGAGUGCUUGGUUUGGGGCAGGAGGCUGAGCUAAAUCUCCAUCUAAACUCAUUUGUUGUACCUCAGCAGAGGACAGUAUCUUUAUACUCUGAACGCAGCUCACAAACUCACUGAGAAAAAUUUUCAAAGUUAUUUUUGUG